Molecule: ribosomal RNA, 1143 nt
Filed under: Triticum aestivum (bread wheat)
Lineage: Eukaryota; Viridiplantae; Streptophyta; Magnoliopsida; Poales; Poaceae
Description: partial small subunit ribosomal RNA
Source: RNAcentral
AUGGAUAUCCCUAGCUCAUUAAUUUCUUCCAUACUCAUAUUUAUGGUUGCGUCCAAUAUUACCAUCACCCCAGAAUCCAUUGCACAUAAAGCCUCCACCAUGGCAGACCACCUUCAAAUUCAGCAGAAACAGUUGGUACUACCGCCGGGGUUUAGGUUCCACCCGACGGAUGAGGAGAUCAUCAAAUUCUAUGUGGUCCCCAAGGUGCUCGAUGAAGCCUUCGUUGUCGCGGCGAUUGAGGAUGUAAACCUCAACAAGUACGAGCCAUGGGAGCUACCAGAGAAGGCGAAGAUGGGGGAGAAAGAGUGGUACUUUUACUCCCGAAAGGAUCGCAAGUACCCCACUGGGAUACGAACGAACCGGGCGACGGAGGCCGGCUAUUGGAAGGCCACCGGAAAGGACAAGGAGAUCUUCCAGCCACCUUUCACACUCAUCGGCAUGAAGAAGACACUUGUCUUCUACAAGGGCCGGGCGCCUAGGGGGGAGAAGACCAAUUGGAUCAUGCAUGAGUAUAGGCUCGAGAGCAACAAGAAGCUGACAUCCAACCCAUCCAUCACCACCCGCACCGUCACCAGAACCAACACGGCUUCCAAGGAACAGUGGGUGGUUUGCAGGAUCUUCCAUAAGAGCACCGGACUAAAGAAGAUGGUGACACCGUCAUAUAACAUGCCAAUGUACACAGGAGCAGAACAUCAGCAGGCCUUUGUCGACUUAGAUACAUUGCCUCCUCUCAUGGAAUAUGACAUGUCGUCAACAUGUGCGCAUGCACCGCUGUUUCCUGGAGCUUCUUCAUACAAGUCGCACGAUGUCGGAACUGGCUCAUCGAUGAUGGGCAGUGUGGCGCUUCCUAUGAUGAAUUACCACUACAUCGGGAACAACCACCACCACCAAAUGAUGGCCAACCCAACACUGCCUCUGUCGCUCUACCAACACCAACAACAACAUCAACAGAUGAUGAUGCAUAUGGGUGCAGAUCAGGGUCUCAUGGUCGGGGCUCAACCUGGAAGUGGGUUGGCGUCGAUGCUGUCACAGGAGGACACUGUGGCCGGGCUGAGGAACAACUACCCAGGGAACACCGCUACAACAGCAGUUGGCGAGACCUCAUUGAUGAACAUGGGUAUGGAUGACAUUUGGCAGAACUGA